GACGAACGCUGGCGGCGUGCUUAACACAUGCAAGUCGAACGCUGAAGCUCAGCUUUUGUUGGGUGGAUGAGUGGCGAACGGGUGAGUAACACGUGAGUAACCUGCCCCCUUCUUUGGGAUAACGCCCGGAAACGGGUGCUAAUACUGGAUAUUCACUGGUCUUCGCAUGGGGGUUGGUGGUAAGGGUUUUUCUGGUGGGGGAUGGGCUCGCGGCCUAUCAGCUUGUUGGUGGGGUGAUGGCCUACCAAGGCUUUGACGGGUAGCCGGCCUGAGAGGGUGACCGGUCACAUUGGGACUGAGAUACGGCCCAGACUCCGACGGGAGGCAGCAGUGGGGAAUAUUGCACAAUGGGCGCAAGCCUGAUGCAGCGACGCCGCGUGAGGGAUGGAGGCCUUCGGGUUGUGAACCUCUUUCGCUCAUGGUCAAGCCGCAACAAUGGUUGUGGUGAGGGUAGUGGGUAAAGAAGCGCCGGCUAACUACGUG
This 483-nucleotide ribosomal RNA is filed under the name uncultured bacterium. Its description in RNAcentral is "partial 16S ribosomal RNA". It matches the Rfam family "Bacterial small subunit ribosomal RNA", at positions 28 to 507 of the family's 1533-position model. The record is from RNAcentral.